GUUUUUCGGCCAGGGAUGUGCUCGCGGCCUAUCAGCUUGUUGGUGGGGUAAUGGCCUACCAAGGCUUCGACGGGUAGCCGGCCUGAGAGGGUGACCGGCCACACUGGGACUGAGACACGGCCCAGACUCCUACGGGAGGCAGCAGUGGGGAAUAUUGGACAAUGGGCGGAAGCCUGAUCCAGCAACGCCGCGUGAGGGAUGACGGCCUUCGGGUUGUAAACCUCUUUCGGUACCGACGAAGCGCCGAUGAUGGUGGUGACGGUAGGUACAGAAGAAGCACCGGCCAACUACGUG
RNAcentral lists this ribosomal RNA (294 nucleotides) under uncultured bacterium. Its description in RNAcentral is "partial 16S ribosomal RNA". It matches the Rfam family "Bacterial small subunit ribosomal RNA", at positions 210 to 507 of the family's 1533-position model. The record is from RNAcentral.